Molecule: ribosomal RNA, 468 nt
Filed under: uncultured bacterium
Lineage: Bacteria
Description: partial 16S ribosomal RNA
Rfam family: Bacterial small subunit ribosomal RNA
Source: RNAcentral
GACGAACGCUGGCGGCGUGCUUAACACAUGCAAGUCGAACGGAAAGGCCCUGCUUUUGUGGGGUGCUCGAGUGGCGAACGGGUGAGUAACACGUGAGUAACCUGCCCUUGACUUUGGGAUAACUUCAGGAAACUGGGGCUAAUACCGGAUAGGAGCUCCUGCUGCAUGGUGGGGGUUGGAAAGUUUCGGCGGUUGGGGAUGGACGCGCGGCUUAUCAGCUUGUUGGUGGGGUAGUGGCUUACCCAGGCGUUGCCGGGUAGCCGGCCUGAGAGGGUGACCAGCGACAUUGGGACUGCGAGACGGCGCAGACUCCUACGGGAGGCAGCAGGGGGGAAUAUGGCGCAAUGGGCGGAAGCCUGAUGCAGCAACGCCGCGUGCGGGAUGACGGCCUUCGGGUUGUGAACCGCUUUCGCCUGUGACGAAGCGUGAGUGACGGUAAUGGGUAAAGAAGCACCGGCUAACUACGUG